Molecule: non-coding RNA, 30 nt
Filed under: Rattus norvegicus (Norway rat)
Lineage: Eukaryota; Metazoa; Chordata; Mammalia; Rodentia; Muridae
Source: RNAcentral
UCCAAAAUUGACGGCAGGGACCUGUCCCUA